GUGUUUGAUGCGUGCUCAAUGUGUAAUUAGCAUGUGUCUAAUCAAUCAGUAAUUAUCGUGUGUUUAAUCUGUAAUUAGCGUGUGUUUAGUCAGUAAUUAGCGUGUGUUUGAUCUGUCAUUAGCGUGUGUUUACUCUGUCAUUAGCGUGGGUUUAAUCAAUCAGUAAUUAGCAUGUGUUUACUCUGUCAUUAGCGUGUGUUUAAUCUGUAAUUAGCGUGUGUUUAGUCAGUAAUUAGCGUGUGUUUAGUCAGUAAUUAGCGUGUGUUUGAUCUGUCAUUAGCGUGUGUUUAAUGUGUCUUUAGCAUGUGUUUAUGUGUCAUUAGCAUGUGUUUACUCUGUCAUUAGCGCAUGUUUACUCUGUCAUUAGCGUGUGUUUAAUGUGUCAUUAGCGUGUGUUUACUCUGUCAUUAGCGUGUGUUUAAUGUGUCAUUAGCGUGUGUUUACUCUGUCAUUAGCGUGUGUUUACUCUGUCAUUAGCGUGUGUUUAUGUGUCAUUAGCGUGUGUUUAAUGUGUAAUUAACGUGUGUCUAAUCAAUCAGUAAUUAGCGUGUGUUUACUCUGUCAUUAGCGUGUGUUCAUGUGUCAUUAGCGUGUGUUCAUGUGUCAUUAGCGUGUGUUUAAUGUGUCAUUUGCGUGUGUUUAAUGUGUCAUUAGUGUGUGUUUAAUGUGUCUUUAUCGUGUGUUUAUGUGUCAUUAGUGUGUGUUUAAUGUGUCAUUAGCGUGUGUUUACUCUGUCAUUAGCGUGUGGUUCCGUGGCCCCGGUGUCUCAGGUGUGCUCAGAGCUCUCUCACGUGUUCGUUGUGUGUUCGACGUGCACAGGUGAGCUCCAGGUGUGGGUCGUGUCCUUGGCUCACCCUCAGCAUGUCCAGGUGUGUUUCACCCCCGCCAGGUGUGUUCCCUGUCCAGGUGUGUUCCCUGUCCAGGUGUGUUCCAUGUCCAGGUGUGUUCCCUGUCCAGGUGUGUUCCCUGUCCAGGUGUGUUCCAUGUCCAGGUGUUUCCUGUCCAGGUGUGUUCCCUGUCCAGGUGUUUUCCUGUCCAGGUGUGUUCCCUGUCCAGGUGUGUUCCCUGUCCAGGUGUUUCCCUGUCCAGGUGUUUCCCUGUCCAGGUGUGUUCCCUGUCCAGGUGUGUUCCAUGUCCAGGUGUUUCCUGUCCAGGUGUUUCCUGUCCAGGUGUUUCCCUGUCCAGGUGUUUCCCUGUCCAGGUGUUUUAGGCAUGGUUUUGCUGUGUUUUUUGUGUGUUUUAGGCAUGACUUUGGUGUGUUAUUCGUGUGUUUUUGGACAUGGUUUUGCUGUGUUUUUUGUGUGUUUUAGG
RNAcentral lists this long non-coding RNA (1311 nucleotides) under Lonchura striata (white-rumped munia). RNAcentral's name for it is "domestica (Bengalese finch) lncRNA (ENSLSDG00000006431.1)". The record is from RNAcentral. Lineage: Eukaryota; Metazoa; Chordata; Aves; Passeriformes; Estrildidae.